UGAGGUGUAGCCAAGUGGUAAGGCACUGGUCUUUGGAGCCGGCAUUCCCAGGUUCGAAUCCUGGCACCUCAA
Potamilus streckersoni is the source of this 72-nucleotide non-coding RNA. The record is from the annotation of a GenBank genome assembly. Lineage: Eukaryota; Metazoa; Mollusca; Bivalvia; Unionida; Unionidae.